CCCUUAGAUGUCCUGGGCCGCACGCGCGUUACACUGAUGCAUUCAACGAGCUUAUAACCUUGGCCGAGAGGCCUGGGCAAUCUUGUUAACGUGCAUCGUGAUAGGGAUAGAUUAUUGAAAUUAUUAAUCUUGAACGAGGAAUUCCUAGUAAACGCAGAUCAUCAAUCUGCAUUGAUUACGUCCCUGCCCUUUGUACACACCGCCCGUCGCACCUACCGAUUGGAUGGUCCGGUGAAGCCUCGGGAUUGUGGUUCUUGCCGCUUUAUUGUGGCGUGACCGCGAGAACUUGUCUAAACCUUAUCAUCUAGAGGAAGGUGAAGUCGUAGCA
This 328-nucleotide ribosomal RNA is filed under the name uncultured eukaryote. RNAcentral's name for it is "partial 18S ribosomal RNA". It matches the Rfam family "Eukaryotic small subunit ribosomal RNA", at positions 1470 to 1796 of the family's 1831-position model. The record is from RNAcentral.